GAUGAACGCUGGCGGCGUGCCUAAUACAUGCAAGUCGAGCGAACAGAUGAGGAGCUUGCUCCUCUGACGUUAGCGGCGGACGGGUGAGUAACACGUGGAUAACCUACCUAUAAGACUGGGAUAACUUCGGGAAACCGGAGCUAAUACCGGAUAAUAUAUUGAACCGCAUGGUUCAAUAGUGAAAGACGGUUUUGCUGUCACUUAUAGAUGGAUCCGCGCCGCAUUAGCUAGUUGGUAAGGUAACGGCUUACCAAGGCAACGAUGCGUAGCCGACCUGAGAGGGGGAUGGGCCACACUGGAACGGAGAAACGGUCCAAACCCCCACGGGAGGCAGCAGUAGGGAAUUUUCCGCAGUGGGGGAAAGCCUGACGGAGAAACGCGGGGGGAGUGAUGAAGGGUUUCGGAUCGUAAAACUUUUUUUUUAGGGAAGAAAAAAUGUGUAAGUAACUAUGCACGUCUUGACGGUACCAAAGCAGAAAGCCACGGCUAACUACGU
RNAcentral lists this ribosomal RNA (496 nucleotides) under uncultured bacterium. Its description in RNAcentral is "partial 16S ribosomal RNA". It matches the Rfam family "Bacterial small subunit ribosomal RNA", at positions 28 to 506 of the family's 1533-position model. The record is from RNAcentral.